GACGAACGCUGGCGGCGUGCUUAACACAUGCAAGUCGAACGGUAAGGCCCUUCGGGGUACACGAGUGGCGAACGGGUGAGUAACACGUGGGUGAUCUGCCCUGCACUUCGGGAUAAGCCUGGGAAACUGGGUCUAAUACCGGAUAGGACCACUGCCUGCAUGGGUGGUGGUGGAAAGCUUUUGCGGUGUGGGAUGGGCCCGCGGCCUAUCAGCUUGUUGGUGGGGUGAUGGGCUACCAAGGCGACGACGGGUAGCCGGCCUGAGAGGGUGACCGGCCACACUGGGACUGGGAUACGGCCCAGACUCCUACGGGAGGCAGCAGUGGGGAAUAUUGCACAAUGGGCGCAAGCCUGAUGCAGCGACGCCGCGUGAGGGAUGAUGGCCUUCGGGUUGUAAACCUCUUUCAGCACCGACGAAGCGCAAGUGACGGUAGGUGCAGAAGAAGGACCGGCCAACUACGUGCCAGCCGCCGCAGUAA
This 478-nucleotide ribosomal RNA is filed under the name uncultured bacterium. RNAcentral describes it as "partial 16S ribosomal RNA". It matches the Rfam family "Bacterial small subunit ribosomal RNA", at positions 28 to 523 of the family's 1533-position model. The record is from RNAcentral.